This is a long non-coding RNA of Triticum aestivum (bread wheat), 838 nucleotides long. RefSeq lists it as uncharacterized. The record is from RefSeq and is a predicted model, not a curated record. Lineage: Eukaryota; Viridiplantae; Streptophyta; Magnoliopsida; Poales; Poaceae. The transcript is spliced from 2 exons.
AGAGAUUGCCGCGGAAGGUUGAGGGGAGGGCGAGGCGGCGCACGACAGCGCCUAUUGGCCGUGGGGGUUGGAUGCAGACAGCUAGGUCUAGGUUGGAGGGGCGGCUGCAGGAGGAUGAAGAUCCAGUGGUUGUGAAUAGUGACCGACUCGUAGAUGAGAUUUUCAGGUACUGAAACCUGACGGCGCUCCCUUAAUUGUUUGUUCGUUGGUUAUCAGUUUCUCACUUUAGCUGUACUCAAGUGUUUUUUUUGUGCCGAUGAAGUUCAAAUACCUUUGUUACAUUUUGGCGAAGUAUCAGGUGAAAAUGAAAAUCUGAAAAUUUCUAUCGUGGACUGUUGGAUCAGGAGCGGACGUCAUGGAUCAGAGGAUUUAGUUACCCCGUAUGAGAAAAUUGACCGCCUCCAUAACCUAGCCGCACCAUGGCGACUCGACGACGCGGCGCUCUCUCCAGGCGAGGGCGGCUCGAUGGCCGGGUGGCUACCCCUCCCGCAUCUGCGACGGUGCGUCGACGCUUCGGGCGACGGCGACUGGUGGUCAGGGCGCUGCCUCACACACAGGUGACUCGGCGGCCGGAGCUCCGCCCGCACACGACGGUGCUCGACGCCUCGGGUGACGCUACGGCCGCGCAGCUGCCCCUCAUGCUACGGCGACUCGGUCGCCGCGAGGCUUCCCCGCACAACGGUGGCUUGAUGGCCGUCGUGAUGCCCUCAAGCGGCGGUGACAUAGACCCAAAACUUAUUAUGCAGUGGCUUGCUCCUGUUGUCUUAUUCUACAGCCCAAUGCUUGCUUCUUGGUAUUAAUUCAGAAGUUGUAUCUGAAUGUUGUAUUUUUUGGUGAA